UGACCACGGGUGACGGGGAAUCAGG
This 25-nucleotide non-coding RNA is filed under the name Equus caballus (horse). The record is from RNAcentral. RNAcentral also lists the same sequence under 4 other names. Lineage: Eukaryota; Metazoa; Chordata; Mammalia; Perissodactyla; Equidae.